Molecule: long non-coding RNA, 338 nt
Filed under: Gossypium raimondii (Peruvian cotton)
Lineage: Eukaryota; Viridiplantae; Streptophyta; Magnoliopsida; Malvales; Malvaceae
Description: long non-coding RNA (GRAI_LNC004990)
Source: RNAcentral
UAGUUUAUGAAGUCCUUAGUAUCAUACACCAAAGCUAUGCCAGUUUUAUUGAUCUUGGACCCUAUGGUAAUCCUCCAUUUGCCUUCGGAGGUUAACCAGGCGGUGGUCGGAUCGCGGAAAUCAUUGGGACCGAUGCCCGGUGGUGGGACCAGAACCGGGUUCCGAGGGUACUUGACCCAAUGGACGAGGAGCGGAUCGUAUUGGUCGGCUGGAUAAGCUAGGUUUUGAACUUGAACACCCUCGGUGGUGGACCCUGUAUAAAGCAUAACAAUUUUACCAUCAUGAAGGAUGGUUGCAGAACCUGUCCAGACACCAUUUUUGUCGUACCACUGAUCGGC